This 2522-nucleotide long non-coding RNA is filed under the name Homo sapiens (human). Its description in RNAcentral is "long non-coding RNA NONHSAT216091.1". The record is from RNAcentral. Lineage: Eukaryota; Metazoa; Chordata; Mammalia; Primates; Hominidae.
ACCACCAAUUUGGAUCUGAGAUCAGACAUAACCUUGCCAUAAGCAGCAAAGGGCUUGGUGAACCCUCAAAAAGGCUGUCAAACACCCAGAGGCCUUGGGGAUCAGGAAGGAGCUAUCAUGUGGUCUUUCAUGAAAAACUGGUUCACCCAUACCAAGCCUACACAUUUCAGCCCAUGAGGAUGGAGAAAAAGAAGAAAUUGAUGACAGAUUCUAUCAUCACAAAAGGAUAAGAGAGAAUUGUCCUGCCUGAUGGGCUUCAAACCACCAGAACAUCAGUUCUUCCUGGUUCUGCAGUAGUCUCCAACCUUCAGACUCAAACUUCAGCACCUGUUCUUCAGAUUUUGGACUUGCAGCCUCUAUAAUCACAUGAGCCAAUUCCUUAUAUAAAUUUAUUUAUACAUGCUGACAGUUGGUUCUGUUUCUCUGGAUAACCCUGACUGUUAGAGCUGUUACCUCAAAUUUGUUUUCUUAUAUUUGGUGUCUGUUUUGGAGUACUUACAAGUGCUUAAAAUGUUCUUUUUCAAUUAGGUGAGUCUCAGUCUCUAAGAUAAUUUUUUUAUUGUUCUAUUUUAUAGAUUACAUGUUAAUGUCAAUUAAGCUAUAAACAUUUUAUUGCUGAUACAUUAUCAAAAUGCUUUUCAAACAGCCAUUUCCAACAGUCUAUUCUUUGGCAAAAAAACAAUGCCAUUCUCUUGCCAUGGCCAAAUGUGAGUGCUACUAACAGGUAAACUCUUAAUUUGUAAGUGAGGCUGAAAUCUUAAAAUGCCUUCCUGAAACUUAUACAUGAUUGAUUUUGUUUAUUUGUGUAAUUUCUUUGUUCUAUGGUUUCAGCUUCAAUUGCUGAGAAAAUGUCAAGAUUAUUUCCUGAGAAUUUCCUUUGUGGCUAAGACAAAGGAGAAGUUUUAAUUUUACUAGAAACUGUGAAACGAGGCUUUUAAAAAGUUUCAUUAAAAAAAAAAUUAGGGAAGAAUAGGCAUAUUCAGAAAACCUACUUUCAUUUAGGCUGGAUUGGUUCCUGUAGAACAUAGCUGCGCCUGGAAUUGAAUGAUCGUGUUUUCCGUGCAGAGCUAUCUGCCUUUGGACAGGAGGAGAACUCUCAGCACCAUUCCCUUUCCACGGGAGCUUCUUUUUUCUCAUUCUUUUUCUUGCCUCCCUCAACUCCCAUCCUCUGUUCUGGGAGAAGGUGAAGCUGGCCUGACAGGCCUGAGGGAAGCCGGACGGAGGCACACUUGCCAGCUUUUAGUUGAGGGAGGCACCGCAGCAAGGCUCUCCAGUCCCUCCUUCCCUGGGAGCACCAGCUCUGAUUCUAGUGGGCAGCUGCAGCUAAGACGAAGACAAAUGAAUCCAGAGACUUCUCUCGAGCUAUGAGCCUGAGCCAAAGGCACAGCCCAGCUGUCCAGAGAGCUUUGUGACAGAACAUGGGGGGCCAGCUGACAGGAACCGAGGCACUUUUAAAUUUAGCACUUGUCCUCGCCCUUUCGGUUCACGAUUUCUUGGAAGUUUCAUUUGGAAAAAGAGGUGAGGGACAGAAGUAGAAGUUGGGAAUUCUAGAUCCCUUGAUUCUAGAAUAUUCUAAGAUCUUCCAAACUAACCCUGAUUCCUAAAAACAGAAUAGGACAAUCUUGUUUUCGGUAUUGAGAAUAGCAAAUAUAGAAAUCCCUUAAUUCUUUGACUUAGCUUAGCAGGUGCAAUUAGUUCUAUCCCUAAGCCUUCUUACCAGAAAAUUUUCUAGUGUAAAAUGAUUGGAUGGGAUACCAAUUGGGAUGGGUGUGGUAAUAGUAAAACCAUAUUCUUUAAUAACUUUUUCUUAUUUGUUUUCCUGGAAUUUUGGUUGGCAUUUUUUAAUGAAUUACAUGCUUAUUUUUAAAAAUUAUUAUGAUGGAGAAUUUUUGUUAGGCAGAAUUUCAAAUCUGUCAUCUGCUGUUGACUCUUACUUUCACUACAAAUUUACGAAGGUAGAGAGACCCAGUUCUUACUUAAGUUAUAUCUAACAUAAAAAUACAAUUCUGUCCCAAUCUGUUCAUUUAAAGGGUAAAUUUAUAGCAUCUGUUCAACUUUAUAUGCUAUCUCAAAAUUGUCAACAUUUUAAGCAAGGUGCUACCUAAUUUUAAUGGGUGCACAAGAGGGAAAAGUGGGUCAUUGACUUCAAAGGCGAAACUAUAAGCUAUUAAUGGGCUACGUUGUGCUGAAUUACAAUCUCUUUUCUUGUUUCAAGUUAAAAUUUUUAAGUGGCCACAUGUUUGGCAUUGUAAUUGAUACCACAAUGCUGCUGUUCCUUGACUCAUUCAUUCUCAAAUGUAUAUAUAUAUAUAUUCUUAGUUCACAAAUUUCUAUUUCUUUUACACAAGUUGCUAUUUCUUGUAGUGUUCAUGAACUGGGUAUGCUGUCCUUUGUAAUGAAAGACUACAGACUGCCAUGAAUAGUACCUUGGCUUCUUUUUUUACAGUGUGGAAUGAGAGCAUUUAUUAUUGUUGCAUUAUUGUAUUUUUGAAUAAAAAUCCCUAUUCCCACUGUACCAAAUC